GUCAGUUGGUGCUGCAACAGUCACACACCUGGUGAAGGCUGCUACAGAAACAUGGCAUUUAUUCUGACUCAGGACCAAGUUUUGUGCGUCAUUUGCAUGGAUAGUUUCACCGAUCCGGUGUCUAUCCCAUGUGGCCACAACUUCUGCAUGGAUUGUAUUCAGGGUUUCUGGGAUGCGAGCCGCAAAUGUGAAUGUCCACUCUGCAAAGAGGCAUUCCAAACCCGACCAACCCUCAGGGUGAAUGUAAGCUUAAAAGACAUUACGGAACAAUUCAAAAGAUCUAUAAAAACAAAACAAGAUUGCAAACCAGAGCCAGCACCAAGGAGACAUACCUCCCGACGGUCCUUGAAAUCUGACACAAUACCUUGCGACAUCUGCAGCGAAAACAAGCAGACAGCAGUGAAGUCAUGCCUGGUCUGCCAAGCGUCUUAUUGUGAAAUGCACCUGGGCCCUCAUCUGAGGGAUCCGGUGAUGAUGAAGCAUAGUCUGACGGAUCCGGCCACCUUUAGCACU
This is a long non-coding RNA of Cyprinodon variegatus (sheepshead minnow), 513 nucleotides long. RefSeq lists it as uncharacterized. The record is from RefSeq and is a predicted model, not a curated record. Lineage: Eukaryota; Metazoa; Chordata; Actinopteri; Cyprinodontiformes; Cyprinodontidae. The transcript is spliced from 3 exons.